CCUACGGGUGGCAGCAGUGAGGAAUAUUGGUCAAUGGGCGCGAGCCUGAACCCGCCAAGUAGCGUGAAGGAUGACUGCCCUACGGGUUGUAAACUUCUUUUAUAAAGGAAUAAAGUGAGGCACGUGUGCCUUUUUGUAUUUACUUUAUGAAUAAUGAUCGGCUAACUCCGUGCCUGCAGCCGUGGUAAUACUGAGGGUCCGAGCGUUAUCCGGAUUUAUUCGGUUUAAAGGGAGAGUAGAUGGUUUGGUAAGUCAGUUGUGAAAGUUGGCGGCUCAACCGGAAAAUUGCAAUUGAUACUGGCAGUCUUGAGUACAGUUGAGGUAGGCGGAAUUCGUGGUGUAGCGGUGAAAUGCUUAGAUAUCACGAAGAACUCCGAUUGCGAAGGCAGCUUACUAAACUUCCACUGACAUUGAGGCUCGAAAGUGUGGGUAUCAAACAGGAUUAGAUACCCGUGUAGUC
Molecule: ribosomal RNA, 460 nt
Filed under: uncultured bacterium
Lineage: Bacteria
Description: partial 16S ribosomal RNA
Rfam family: Bacterial small subunit ribosomal RNA
Source: RNAcentral